CCUACAGCAUAUGGAAAUUCCCAGGCCAGGGAUGGAAUCUGAGCAGCAGCUGUGACCUACACCACAGCUGUCGCAACCCUGGAUACUUAACCCAACAUACCAGGCCUGGGAUCGAACCUGUGCCUCUGCAGCAACCCACACUGCUGUAGUCAGAUCCUUAAUCCACUGUGCCACAGUGGGAACUCCCCUGUUCCCACUCUUGAUGCCAGGGGCAAGUGAUAUUCCCUUACCAGUGCUUAAUUCCUUGUGUAUGGCUGUGAAGUAGGUCUUUCACAUCUCUGUUAUGAACUAUGUCACACUGUAUUAUUUAUUAAAUGUAUUAAAUGUAUUCAAGUUAUAUUUUAUGAAUCUUUCUUCCUCUGUCAGACUCUGUAUUCCUUAAAAUCAGAGGAAAUAUUGAUGUUCAGAGUCCUGGGAAGCACCUGGCACCUGGCAUGUGUUUAGUGCUUGAAUGGAUACACAGGUUAUACUAAAUCUUCCUGCAAAUUCUAAGUCCCAUAUCCAAAUAGGUGGGUUUUUAUUUGUUUUCAGCCCAGAAAGCUAGUUAUUGUUAUCUAUACAUUUUCAUUUACAAACAAAAGCUUUGAAAAUCGGUUUUCAUUAUACUAGGAAGUGAAGAUCUGUAUUCCAUAUUGCAGAACAGAUACAUGAUACAGCCUGACUUCAUGGUGGUGGAAUAUAAUCCUUCAGGAGGAUGGAUUGUUCCUGGUUAAAGAAGCUUUACUAUGGGGACAUUUCCUGUGUUAAUAGCUGUGAGAAAGGGUUUCUUGGAGCCAUGGGCUUCUGAGAGGGGCCUCAGCAGAUAUGACUGGGUGGGAAGGAACCAGCGAACCUGGUUCAAGGGCACCAUGCUUGUCUCUACAUUUGAUUCUAUUAGAAGUCUCAAGGCUCUUCUUUUUUGUCAAGUUUUAAAACCUUUUCAAUCGCUUACUACCCUUGAGGAUGACUGGGGCUUGGCAAUGAGAAGGAAAAACUAAGAGGCUUUUUUGUUCUGACCUUGUUCAGUUAUCUGUCACAGAAAACAGAGCUCUUAGGUCACUGUCCAUCCACUCCUGUGAUGCCAUCCUUGUGUGCUGUGUGGAAGAGUCUAUUGGUUGCAGGAGAUGCUGAAUGUGGUUCUUGGACCUUGAGAUACCCCUGGUCCAGAAGGACUUACAAAUAACAAACUUAACUGUUGCUAUUCUGCAGGUGUGUGAGCGGUAUAAGAAGUGGUGAGAUCACAGAGGUGUCAAAGCAAUGGCCAUGCUCUGUGUGGGUCAGUCUUGAGAGAUGGUGGGAAUUGAUUGAGCAUGCGCAGAGCACAGGGAAGGGACAGUAGGGAGAAGAAAGCUUUCCAGGCAGAAGGAAGAGCAUUAUCAGAGUGAAAGAAGAGGAAGAUGCCUGACAUCUUCCAAGAAGCUCCACAUGUCAUAGAUGGAUUGUAUAUCACACACAAAAUGGGGACUCUGCUAAAAAGGCAGGGGGUGGCCAGAUAGAGAGAAGCCCUGCAUGACAAGGAAGAGCAUACUGAAAUUCCUUCUGGUAGGAGCCAUGCUGUCAUUAAUUUAGAAAGUUGGCUUUUUAUGAAUGAAAUGGGCAGUGCACUCUGAGAUCAAGGCUGGGAAAAGAGACCAUGUGAACUGUAAUUAUCAGAACGCCGGAGGACCUUGAGUUCUUUGAAGGAAAAGCUUUCUCUAUUCAUGGAGACUCAGGGCCUUCCCAUCCUUUUCUUGGUGUAGAAUAUUCAAGAAGCAUUGGUUCUUUUAUGGUAAUAACAAUUCCGACAUGUGCCUCUGCCUGAAUAAUUUAUUCACAUUUUAACUAAAAAGUUUCAAGAAAAAUGCCAGCUGUGGACAUCUGAAAGCCAAAUGUGAAUAUUCUGUGGAGGAGCAGGUGGGGGAGGGGACUGUGGAAAGUCAAGGUCUGGGCUGUGCUGAGAGGGAAAAAUUCCUGAGAAUGGGGUUCCCCCUAGAGGUGGCAGUGAGUCCAGCCACAGGACUGUGGACACAGGGUCCCUGUUCCUGCCUGUUUGGGAUGCUCUGUGCUUCCUGAACAGGCUCCCUGAGAACUGAGCCCAAUUCAGUGGUGGGAAUAGAAGCUUGUUGUUGUUUGCCUGGCUCCUCAGUUUUCCCUGAGCCAGCUUGGAAAAAAAACGUUAAAACCGAAUCAGAAUGGCCUCUGCCUUUCUCACUGAUCCUGACAGGAUAGGUCCAGAGUCUGCUUCUCAUGUGAAGUGUCUGUCCCUGAGCAACAUAGGAGGCCGUAGAGAAGGAAAAAGUGGAGACACGGAUAAGAAAAAGAAAAUGCAAUUGAAGCCUAGUGGUCAUUGUUUUUCUUGAAACUAUGUUUGUAUGUUAUAUGUUUCUAUUAAGGUAUUGCUAAAUGUGAAAUGUUCAUCACAUGGUUGUCACAUGUGUAUGAACAUACAAUUCCCAGUGAUGAUCUCUGAACACAUAUACACAAUGCACACAAUGCACAUGCCUACCCACAUCUAUACAUAUACACACAUGCACAUAAACACACUCACACACCUAUGCAAGCAUUCACAUAAACAUAUACUUGUCAUAUACACACAUAUAUAAACACAUGCAAUGUAUAUAUACACAUAAACAUACACAUGUGCAUAUACACACCGUCACACAUAUACACAUGCACAUAACAUGCACAUAACUUUCAUAAACACAUGCAUACAUUCAUGCCCAUAAUGUAUCCACACAUGUACACGUGCACACAUACACAAUGUCUGUCUUCAAAACUAUGAUAAGACUUUCUUUACUUUGAAAACUCUAAAAAAGCAAAGCUUAAUUCCAUUUUAGUCCAUGCAUUUAAUCACCAUCUAUUGACCUCUGUCAUUUGUAAGGGUACAUUAAACAGACAACAGAAUAAAAUAAAACACUAAGGUCUAAUAAGUAAGAAAAUGGGAUGGAAUUUUGGGAAUAAAUGGAUGAUUUAGUAGGCCAGAUAUUUAUCAUUUCCUCUUUUUUUCUAUUGUCCAUCAGUAAUUCUGUCAUUAGAAUAUUGGCCUUUCUCUCCAUGUAUUUUGAAUGACACUGUUUAGUAAAUAUACUGUGGGCCCAUAGUCACAUGUUAUUGCCUAAAUAACAACCUGUUAUUUAUUCAUUUGAAAACUUAAUGGAAUUUUGAAAUUUUCCUGGAAGAUGCAUUAUGUGGUUUCAUGAGAUGUGUGCUCUAAAUAACACCCUGUGUUGAGGUGAUUCCUGGCUUAGCAUGUGCUAUUCCAGCCCCUGAAAUGACGUUUCCCUGUCUCUCUGGUCCUUCUCCCUUUGGCGAACAGGACCCUUGAGGAAGCUUUGACACUGGGAUUGACACCAGAGAGACUGAAAUGGCUUAUUCUGGGUUCCUCUGCCAUUUUGUACCUCCAACAUUUACAUGUAACUCAUCUGAUCUUCAGGACCAAACACUAGGAUGUAAGAAUGGCCACAUUCCUUUAUUUCUUCCAGUCACUAUGUCUGUAACCUGCACUACCACAUCAGCUGGCGGGACUUUCAACCCUGCUCACCCACCCCCAACGCUCCUAGGACUUCACAGGGUCUCACAGCUGCAGGAACAACCCAUUUCUGUGUUCAUCUUGGUUGCUGAGCAACAGCCCUACUUUUGUGUUUUAAGAUUCAUUUAAAACAGAGAAAGCUGGCAUUCAAUUUUUCUUUUGAAUUUCACGUGGGAAGGCUGGAGUGUUUUAUUUCUAGACAUCGUGUGUAUUGUCUCUGAAUUAAGGCUGCACCAACUAGUAUUGCACAAAGGUUUCUUGUCCUGCUUAGUUUAUAUCUGGACUCAUUCCCUGAUGGAGGUGUCAUCACCGUGGGCACGUUCAGCACACUGGAGAUGGGUGUGGACAUCCUUCAAGUUCUGAAUGAAGAGUUUCUUUGUAUAGGCUCUUGGGAGUUUCCAGAGUCACCGUCCUGGAGUAUGAGUGGUUCUGAUUGGCAGAGCUGAUGGGGACCCGUGUCAAUCGCUUGUAGAACUGAGCUCCACAUCUGGCUCAUUGCCAACAUGUACCCACAAGUGAAAAAUGGUUCACAUUUUAGCUCGUCUUUCCCCAUUUGGUUUAUAUUCUAGUGAGAGGUUUUCCAGAUGUUAUUUGUGUCUGUAUGCCCCGCUGGGUGAAGAACCUCUCCCCUUCCAUCUUCAAUGUUAGGGAACAGAAAGUGACCUUGGUAGUCUUCAUCAGCAACCUGCUUUUCAGAAUAAGAAAACAAAGAUAGAGAGGCAAGGAAAUUUAACAGUCAGCCCUAGGUCUUCAGCUAGACAUAAAGACACCAACUCAGUGGGGAAUCAGAAGAAAGGGGUCUUAUUUCUGAUUCAGCCACAAAAUCACUUCCUUCAGUUUUCUAUAGUAUUGAGAGCAUUGGACUAGAAAGGUAUCCCCAAUGCCAGUCUGUGAUAAUGAAGUUGUGAUACUAAAAUUUUCCACUAACCUGUGAGAUUAUAAGAAUAAUGAGGUAAAAAUUUCAAUCCUUUUUAAAAUAUAUAAAACUAAAUACUUAUUUUUGUGCCUAGUUUUCUUUUGGUUCUUCUUUGAUGAAGUAAUGGCAAUAGUACAGGAUAUUUUUUUUGUCUAAAUAACCAGCUCCUGAUUAUAUCCAGCACUGAUUUUUUUUUUACAUUUUAGAAAAAAAAUGACAUUCUUUGAUAUUCAGCAUUUCUAGAAUCUCUAGUUCAAAUGAACUCUAAAACCCCUUCCAUCUUCCAGUUUGAAGGGAGAACAUAUACUAAGUAGAGUUAAAUCAUUUUUUAGAUUACCAGACAUGUAAAGUAAUAAACAUGAAAAGAAGUACAGCUUUACUCUCUUAGUGAGAUUGUCCAUGUUAAAGGCUUUUCAUCCACUAGGAUUUUCUAGAAGUUAUUUGUGGAUAUGUGUUUGGAUACAAAAUCUCUAGUUUUGACUAAGGUUCUAGAAUAGUCUUCAUUUAAAUAGGUUAGAGAGAAAUUAACCUAAAUAUAAAAAAAAAAAAGUCAAGGAAGAAAGAAAAAACAUACAUAGGGAGGUAUCUGAAAUCUUUUGAGUAUAAUAAAGGACAUACAUUCAUCUGUAUAUUCUUUGAAAGCCUGGUUUGUAUAUACAUUAGACAACACCCUUGCUUUCUUGUAAUUGAACAGAAAUUGAUCAGUCCAAUUAUUAUAUUACAAAAUGCAAAUUUCAACUGCAAUUUUAAAACAAACCACUAAAAAUCUAAAAAUAGGGAUACAGUUUAUUCUCCUUCAUACCUACAUAGAAUAUUGAUGAUGUUUAAAGAAUGUGUUCUAUAGAUAAGAUUUUUGAUUAUAAAAUGAAAUUAGAUUUGUUUCACCCUCAAAGAGUCCCACUGAAAAAUUAUCAUCUAAAAUCUGGAAAAACUUGGAAGAAAAUAGUUUGUAAAGGAGGUUUAAAUUCCUAAGGCUUUUUGUCAGUUCUCCACUUGAAAGGUCUUUUUGCAUAAUGUUUAAUAUGCCCAAAACUUUCCUUUCAUGUUAAGGAUACUUCCAUAUUUAGAGGAUUUGAUGUAAUAGGGGGCACUGCUUUUGUGAAGCAAUCGAUGCAUUAUGUUUUGCCAGUUUAGCAAAUCUUCUUUCUAACCAACCUGACUAAACAUUUCUUUGAAUGCUGAAAAAAUGUGCAAGAGAUAAAAUAUUAAAAAGAAAACCACAUUCAAACAUACAGUAAAAUUUUCAAAAGGGGAUGAAACCUUCUCAUGUGCAUAAAUUGUUUUUUGUUUGGUGAUUUGAUGAUAUAAUAAAUCAGUGACUUUGAUUUUGGUGAAAUGACUCUAGAUGAAGUAUAUUACUUCAAAGGAAAACAAGGAAUAAAGAAAAUUAAAUGAAUUAUGUAAUAAACAUGAAUAGUAGGUUAAAGACAAGGGCAAAGAAAAAGGUAUGAAUCUUUUAAAUUUUCUUUCACUUUAAAAAGUAUCUGGGGUUCUCAUUGUGGCUCAACGGUAAUGAACCCAACUAGUGUCUAUAAGGACGAGGGUUAGAAGCCUGGCCUCACUCAGUGGGUCCCAUGAGCUGUGGUGUAGGUCGCAGACGUGACCUGGAUCCUGUAUUGCUGUGGCUGUGGUGUACGUCAGAAGCUGCAUCUCCAAUUCGAUUCCUAGCCUGGGAACUUCCAUAUGCGAAGGGUGCAGUCUUAAAAAGACAUUAAAAAAAAAAAAAA
RNAcentral lists this long non-coding RNA (6130 nucleotides) under Sus scrofa (pig). RNAcentral's name for it is "lncRNA (ENSSSCG00055011161.1)". Lineage: Eukaryota; Metazoa; Chordata; Mammalia; Artiodactyla; Suidae. The record is from RNAcentral.